UUACUUACCUGGCAGGGGAGACACCUUGAUCACGAAGGANAUUUUCCCAGGGUGAGGCUCAACCAUUGCACUCCAGCUGUGCUGACACCUGCGAUUUCCCCAAAUGUGGGAAACUGAAUUACAUAAUUUGUGGUAGUGGGGAACUGCGUGCGCACUUUCCCC
Molecule: small nuclear RNA, 162 nt
Filed under: Salvator merianae (Argentine black and white tegu)
Lineage: Eukaryota; Metazoa; Chordata; Lepidosauria; Squamata; Teiidae
Description: U1 spliceosomal RNA (ENSSMRG00000007895.1)
Rfam family: U1 spliceosomal RNA
About the family: U1 is a small nuclear RNA (snRNA) component of the spliceosome (involved in pre-mRNA splicing). Its 5' end forms complementary base pairs with the 5' splice junction, thus defining the 5' donor site of an intron.
Source: RNAcentral